UACGUAGGGUGCGAGCGUUAAUCGGAAUUACUGGGCGUAAAGCGUGCGCAGGCGGUUUUGUAAGACAGGUGUGAAAUCCCCGGGCUUAACCUGGGAACUGCAUUUGUGACUGCAAGGCUAGAGUAUGGCAGAGGGGGGUAGAAUUCCACGUGUAGCAGUGAAAUGCGUAGAUAUGCGGAGGAACACCGAUGGCGAAGGCAAUCCCCUGGGCCUGCACUGACGCUCAUGCACGAAAGCGUGGGGAGCAAACAGG
This 253-nucleotide ribosomal RNA is filed under the name uncultured bacterium. Its description in RNAcentral is "partial 16S ribosomal RNA". It matches the Rfam family "Bacterial small subunit ribosomal RNA", at positions 524 to 776 of the family's 1533-position model. The record is from RNAcentral.